UCCAUGGUGUUUACUAUGAAUGUGUGGGAAC
Molecule: non-coding RNA, 31 nt
Filed under: Rattus norvegicus (Norway rat)
Lineage: Eukaryota; Metazoa; Chordata; Mammalia; Rodentia; Muridae
Source: RNAcentral